CAUUUAUACCCUACUCAAAGAGCUACAACCAGACACGACUAGAACUCGAAUUCCAAAUCUAAACAGACUCUGUGUACAAAACAAUUUAAAUAACUAAGGAAAACAUAAAACCAUCCUUCCGUGAUAAACUGGGACACCACCACGGAUCAACCGGCCAUCUUCGAGUCUUCCUCCCAUGUCAUCGGCAGACUCCCCAUCAGCGUCAAUCAAUACCGGCCAUCAGUAUAAACACAUCAUCACCUAUGGACUUAUAGUCACAUUCAACUCUCUCCUCAUCGGCAACCACCUUCAUCGGCAACUUUCCUGUAGAUCAAUGACUAUUACCCUGUCUUGCCGAUCCACAUCCUACCGAUCCUGGAUACGUGUCCAAAAAUGGUAUCAACAUACUGCUUAUGAGCAUUGAGUGUGGUCAAGCUGUGUAGACCCUUAGGAGCUUGUCAUGCGGAUAAAAUCAAAAUCCACUUGCACGUUCACUCAUACAUGCUGCUUCUACUCCGGAAGUACGCACCCACAUACAUCCACUCAUUUCCAUCUCCAGAUUUACCCAAAAUUAUUCUACUCCUAUCUAGGAGAGAAUAGCCAAAAACAUUAUCCUAUCCCUCUUAGUCCCCAUGAAAUAAAUGCUCGAGAUAUUUUGGUUACUACCACUUGCUACAUUAUUCCAGGAGGGUGAGUGCUCUGAAAAAAGUGAAUACGAGGAAAUAAAAAGGGGCAAUUGUCCAAAACCUCGAAGAAAAGAAAAAGUGAGACGAGAGGUAAAAAUGGACAAUUGUCCGAUAGUAGAAUUAGGGGUACAAGAUACCCACCCGAGAGAAGAAAAAAAAAGAAAAUAUAGAGCAUCUCAUUCCCCUCAAAAAGCUUCAAAGUGCAAGAAAGGUAUGUAUCCCCUCAAAAGAGCAAAAGUAGAAUUAGACUUUCACCAUUGUUUUCACCAUCAUAACCAUACACCAUUCAUUCGCCACACAUGCACAUCUUGAUAUUGACUUAUUGACUUGUUUCUCUGGAUCCAUGGUUUGACAAUGCAAUAAAUGUCAUGUAAGUAUGUAUACUUUAUCUCCCACCUAUGAGCUCCAGAUAUCAAAACCUUAUUAGAGUAGGAUGAGAGAGAAGGCAAUAUCACUAUGCCUCAUACCACAAAUACUACAUACUUUGAGAGAAGGCAUAUAUCAUCACUACCUUGAUGAGGAUCCAUAAAUACCACAAAAGAGAUAAUUGAGAAGAGUUAUACAAGGAAUCUCUGAGUUUUAUUUGAAAAUCUGCAAAAACUCCAGAGCU
Molecule: long non-coding RNA, 1275 nt
Filed under: Sorghum bicolor (sorghum)
Lineage: Eukaryota; Viridiplantae; Streptophyta; Magnoliopsida; Poales; Poaceae
Description: long non-coding RNA (SBIC_LNC014467)
Source: RNAcentral